GCCUCGUUAGCUCAAUGGAGCAGAGCGCCGGUCUACGAAGCCGGAGGCUGAGGCCGGACACAGGGUGCGCCUGCGCGCAGCCUGUGCCUGCCGAAGGGCGUUCGCUCUGCGAACGCGCGGCCUGCAAGGUGGACGUUCGAGUCGUCCACGAGGCACCA
Molecule: transfer RNA, 158 nt
Filed under: Roseateles saccharophilus
Lineage: Bacteria; Pseudomonadati; Pseudomonadota; Betaproteobacteria; Burkholderiales; Sphaerotilaceae
Description: tRNA-Arg
Rfam family: tRNA (bases 1-67)
Source: RNAcentral